Triticum urartu is the source of this 3922-nucleotide non-coding RNA. The record is from RefSeq and is a predicted model, not a curated record. NCBI's taxonomy places the organism in Eukaryota, Viridiplantae, Streptophyta, Magnoliopsida, Poales, Poaceae.
UGGACUCCCUCUGUCCAUCCCUCACUAGCCCCUACCUCGUCUCCCGUCUCCAGGGGCAGCCGUCUGCAUCUCGUUCCCCUCUCCCUCCGACAUGGCCGCCCCCAUCCACCGCCCACCCCCGCCGCCGCUGCCCUCACCCUCUCCCUGCCCAGGCCCCACAUCAAGCAGCGGCCAUGGCGUUCCCGGCCGCCGUGGUGCGUGAUUCCCACCUCUACCUCUGCCUCGCCGUGGAUGGGAAGGAGAUCGGAAUCCUCCAUGGACGGACGCACUGAUGGGGGUCUCGUCUGACGACGGAGGCGGACCACCAGGAGGAGUUGCCGUGAGACGACACCGACGGUCGGCUCCUUCUCCACAACAACACAACACCGACCGUGGGGACUCCCGUUCUUCCACCCUGAUGGCCUCUCCUCCGGCGCCCCUGUUCUUCUUCCACUCCAGCACGAUGGUGCACGACAGAGCCGGCUGCGUGUGGUGCGUGCGGGGGGAUUCUUCUUCCACUCUGGCAAUCUGAGAGCAGCCAAGCAAGGUUAUUGAGAUAUGUAUCUUGCGAUUCUUUGUGUGCCGGUUACAUCUGCGGGUACGGCUGCACGAGUUCAUGUCUGUCAUUCACACAUGCAAAUUGUGAUGCCUGCUGCUUGCGACAGUUUCGCCCCUGUUCUUCUUCUACUCCGGCAAGAUGGAUUCAAACUUGGUUCUGAAAAGCACACCACAGAGGUCACCGUGAAGAAGUCUGGAAGCCUGCUUAUAAAUUCUGGGAUACAAGGAUACUCCCUGCUAAAGAUAACUCAGUCUGGAUUUGAAGGAUUCAUGAGGGAUCGCUACACUCUUCUUCCUGAAACAAGAGAAAGAAUUGUAGCUACAGAAGUAACUGCUUGGUGGAGCAGAUGAGAGGCUGGAAUGUUCCAUCCAAAUAGUUUAAUCAGAAACUGCACUGGCAAAGGUCUAGAGGAUGUAGAGGAGCUCCAGUUUGAUCCUAAGGAUGGCAUUGCUUUUUUUCUUCUUAUGCUCCAGUUUGCAGCAGCAUCUCCGACACCCUCUCGACGAAUUGCAGGUAGAUUGUAGCUGAGGAUGCGGCGAUGACCACCGAGGUAUGCCCUUCUCUCCUUGACCUUCAUGCUGGCUUCAACAAGGCCGAAAGAUCUUCAGUCUUUUACAAGGUCAACCCCGCCUUCCUUGCAAUCAAUCUGCUGGCGACAGUAGAAAUUAACAGUCCUUUGUAUGUGUUUCUACAUGGUGGAUAUACGUGCAUGACCGGAGUGCAUGCUCGGUGGCAGAAGCAUCAGGGUGCUCCACGCUCAACAUCUUCUCAGCAUAGCUGCUCGAUCAGUAGUUUUGAUUGAUCUAUUUGAUAAUUUAAGCCAUCCAGUUGAUGUUCUUGGUUCGCUCAUGCUCUUUUCUUAUGUUGUUGUUUAAUCACUAUUGGCUUGGAUAUUCUCUAUAGCAUCUCAACAAUUCACUGCAACUGGCCAGGUUAUUCUGUAUAUUUGAUACUGUACGAGAGUAGCAGUCGGACUCAAAAAAUCACAACAUUCUGCAGGUCCAAAUUUACAUUGAUCGUUUAGUGGUUCAUCGAAAUUCUUCUGCCUAUGACUUUGAAAUUGGCCAGUAAAAGCCAACAUCCACCCUCUUCACAGCCGCAGUCAGGGAUUCGUUCAUUUUAGUGUGAGUAAGGAUGGGAACAUUGAUCUAUAUAUGGUAAUAUUUCAUGCUGAUUUCAUUUCUCAUUUCAUUGAUCAUCCGUGUUACUCCUUUGACAAAUGAUAUUUAUAGUACUUCUGGAUGACAAAGACUUUGAGUUCUGUGUGAAGCUCCAAAAGGAAUACCUAUAAGACUCCUUCAUCAACUUAGUAAGAUUGCAUAUGCCCUUUGCGUUGCACAGGUCCAACGCCUCGCUCCUCUACUCAUAGUGAAAAAAACUUAGGUACUCUGAAAUUUAUCUUUUCUUCCCCUCAUGCUUUGUUAGGUUAGAUCAAUAGUUUUAUCUUAUUGGACCUGUGCAUUUUGAGAGUCCGAAAUGGGAACAUUAAAUUUACUUGGACCCUAUCUUAUUCUCAUAUCUGUAACUAGCUUUGCUUGUCAUUUAGAAGGGAUGACCUAAGGAGUAGAGAGAUUCGAGGCAAUCAAAAUCCUGCAUAUGUAUGUUUACAUGCGUUUGAUAAUCCUAUGCCAGGGCCACAUAUAUAGGGACAUUCAAAAUUCUACACCAGGUUUACGUAUAUAGGGACAUAUUCAGCUGAGGUUCACGUAUAUACAAACCUGAAACUGUAUGCUUCAAACCGGAUGUGGCAGUAAUCCACUCAUCAUGCAAAACAAAACAAAAAUCUGUUACCUAGCAUGUAUUUGUUUGUACAGAUGAUGCAAUGUACUACAUUUUGUUUGCAUAAUACAUCACCUAGCAUGUAUUUUUUAUAAUCGAGCACCGCGACGAAUCUGUUAUUUACCUUAGGAGGGUAAGAAAAAACACAAUCAAUGACAUUAUACAUAAUUCUAGACAUUGUUUUAGAGUAUGUUCUGAAGUAUAUUUUUCUUCCAGUAAAUGUUGGAAAUGUCUAUGUACUUUUUUCUCCCAAUAUGUUAUGGUCAUCUUCCUGCUAUGCAUAUAAAUUUCAUGGCCAGCUUACCAGCUGGUGGUUGGCGAUCCUUUCUAUCUUCUUCCUCGCCGGCUCGAUAAAUCUCUUGGUUUCCUUCUCCUACCACUAUUCCUCCCUUGUGCUCUGUAACUCGGCCAUUGAUGUGGCUGUUAGUAAUAAGACGGUAAUAUUUGUUUUAUAGAAAUACUUGUUUUUUUGCGGGUGUUUAGAAAUACUUGUUAGUUGCACAGGUGUACCCUGCAAGGAAUAAUUUUACAAUGGAAAUGCAUAUCUGUUGAAUUGAUGACUAAACAAGUUUGCGGGCACAUCUCUGAAAAUACAAGCAAAUACAGACAUAGAUUUAAGGGUUCUCAUUCAUUUAAAUCUCAAUGUUGAGAGAAGCCGAUCUCUGGAUAUGAGUAUUUUCUUCCCUGUUUGCGUGAUUGUUUAAUUGAAUGGAUAACUGUGUCUCCUGAAUAUUGUCCCAUAUAAUUGUUUUAAAUCUACCGAAUUAGUUCUCUAAAUCAGUUGAUAUUUUGCAAAGCUUCAAGCUUUAGUUUUUGCACUUAAUGACAUCAAUUGUUUGUGCAGAUUCAAGAUUUAUUUCUGUACUGGAUGAUAGCAGUGAUUAGUGAUUACUGUCACAUGCUGCUGUUGUCAUCCAUAUCUCCUCAGGUGCCUUAGGUUUGUGAUGCGAAAGUUGUUCUACAUAUGUAAAUUGCUCUGUUCUUCUUUCGCCAAAUACAUUAAUAAGCCCGCGAUACACUUUGCUUCUUUUUUUAUCUAAUGUCUAUUUGUAGACUAAGUGUUUUAUUUAUGAUAGUGGAUUUCUGGCGUACAUGUGAAUAUCUCAUGUAUAUACAAUCAGUACACUCACCUGAACGAGAAUGUUAGCAAGCAGAGCGGGGUUGCGUCUUGUCCUUCUAGCGUCGAAGGUCCGGUGCACCCAUGGGUGUGCCUUUGCUGGUUUCUGACUGUCACAAAGAAGUCAGAGCUGUGGGCGGCGAGGCCACUGCGGCAACGAUGACUAUGAGAACAGUUUUCAGCAAGCGGUGCUCCCCGAAUGUUGCGUUGAACUACGUCAUUGCGUGGCUUGCAAUCUUCUCCUAUGAAGCCCGUAUGCAAAAUUGAAACUGUCAUGUCCUCGAUGUUGUGCUCGACUAUUCAUUGUUGCUUUGUGGCUCCGUGCUUCCUCUCCACAGUUAUAUCGUUUUUUGUGAUGUAAUCUUAUUAGUGGUUGGGUCAUCCAUGCGAGCCCCUUCUGAAGUUUGUAGUCUAGGUUAGAUACAUCCGUAUGUAGACAAAUUGAAGACAAAUAAUAUGGAAAGGAGGGAGUAUAUUAUUUGACUCAA